This 886-nucleotide ribosomal RNA is filed under the name uncultured bacterium. Its description in RNAcentral is "bacterial SSU rRNA". It matches the Rfam family "Bacterial small subunit ribosomal RNA", at positions 57 to 941 of the family's 1533-position model. The record is from RNAcentral.
GCAAGUCGAGGGGCAGCGCGAGUAGCAAUACUUGGGCGGCGACCGGCGCAAGGGUGCGUAACGCGUGAGCAACAUGCCCGUAUCAGGGGGAUAAUCCAGGGAAACUUGGUCUAAUACCCCAUAGUAAUCUGGAGAGGCAUCUUUUUGGAUUUAAAGCUUUGGUGGAUACGGAUGGGCAUGCGUUCCAUUAGCUAGUUGGUGAGGUAACGGCUCACCAAGGCAACGAUGGAUAGGGGAACUGAGAGGUUUAUCCCCCACACUGGUACUGAGACACGGACCAGACUCCUACGGGAGGCAGCAGUGAGGAAUAUUGGUCAAUGGGCGCAAGCCUGAACCAGCCACGUCGCGUGAAGGAAGACGGCCCUACGGGUUGUAAACUUCUUUUGUAAGGGAAUAAAGUGUAGUACGUGUACUAUUUUGCAUGUACCUUACGAAUAAGGAUCGGCUAACUCCGUGCCAGCAGCCGCGGUAAUACGGAGGAUCCGAGCGUUAUCCGGAUUUAUUGGGUUUAAAGGGUGCGCAGGCGGGAGAUUAAGUCGGCGGUGAAAUUUUGCAGCUUAACUGUAAAAGUGCCUUCGAAACUGGUUUCCUUGAGUGUAGAUGAAGUAGGCGGAAUUUGUGGUGUAGCGGUGAAAUGCAUAGAUAUCACGAGGAACUCCGAUUGCGCAGGCAGCUUACUAAACUACUACUGACGCUCAGGCACGAAGGCGUGGGGAUCAAACAGGAUUAGAUACCCUGGUAGUCCACGCAGUAAACGAUGAUUACUCGCUGUUUGCGAUAUACAGUAAGCGGCUUAGCGAAAGCGGUAAGUAAUCCACCUGGGGAGUACGUUCGCAAGAAUGAAACUCAAAGAAAUGACGGGGGCCCGCACAACCGGAGGAACAUG